RNAcentral lists this ribosomal RNA (269 nucleotides) under uncultured bacterium. Its description in RNAcentral is "partial 16S ribosomal RNA". It matches the Rfam family "Bacterial small subunit ribosomal RNA", at positions 1223 to 1500 of the family's 1533-position model. The record is from RNAcentral.
UGUUACAAUGGGUGAUACAGAGGGCCGGCCGCUGGCAACAUCGGUCCAAUCCUUAAAGUCAUCCUCAGUUCGGACUGGGGUCUGCAACCCGACCCCACGAAGCUGGAUUCGCUAGUAAUCGCGCAUCAGCCAUGGCGCGGUGAAUACGUUCCCGGGCCUUGUACACACCGCCCGUCAAGCCAUGAAAGCCGGGAGCGCCUGAAGUCCGUGACCGCGAGGGUCGGCCUAGGGUGAAACCGGUGAUUGGGGCUAAGUCGUAACAAGGUAAC